UACGAAGGGGGCUAGCGUUGCUCGGAAUCACUGGGCGUAAAGCGCACGUAGGCGGAUUUUUAAGUCAGGGGUGAAAUCCUGGAGCUCAACUCCAGAACUGCCUUUGAUACUGGGAAUCUCGAGUCCGGGAGAGGUGAGUGGAAUUCCGAGUGUAGAGGUGAAAUUCGUAGAUAUUCGGAGGAACACCAGUGGCGAAGGCGGCUCACUGGCUCGAUACUGACGCUGAGGUGCGAAAGCGUGGGGAGCAAACAGG
This 253-nucleotide ribosomal RNA is filed under the name uncultured bacterium. Its description in RNAcentral is "partial 16S ribosomal RNA". It matches the Rfam family "Bacterial small subunit ribosomal RNA", at positions 524 to 776 of the family's 1533-position model. The record is from RNAcentral.